This 149-nucleotide small RNA is filed under the name zebrafish metagenome. RNAcentral describes it as "yybP-ykoY manganese riboswitch". It matches the Rfam family "Manganese Mn2+ riboswitch aptamer (yybP-ykoY)", at positions 11 to 158 of the family's 177-position model. Rfam says of the family: This RNA was originally discovered in E. coli during a large scale screen and was named SraF. The family was later found to exist upstream of related families of protein genes in many bacteria, including the the yybP and ykoK genes in B. subtilis. The specific functions of these proteins are unknown, but this structured RNA element may be involved in their genetic regulation as a riboswitch. The record is from RNAcentral.
UUGGGGAGUAGCCUGCUUUCAGCACCUGGAAGCGCCUGCGUCAACACACUUGAGCCGUCUGGCUCAUGGCGCCGGCAGCCGAGCCCGGUUGGCGAGACCAACGAUGCGCCUGCACGACGAUGGGUCGGGCAGUGCUGGCGCGUCGUUGU